RNAcentral lists this small nucleolar RNA (80 nucleotides) under Chinchilla lanigera (long-tailed chinchilla). Its description in RNAcentral is "Small nucleolar RNA SNORD116 (ENSCLAG00000018692.1)". It matches the Rfam family "Small nucleolar RNA SNORD116". From Rfam's summary of the family: HBII-85 is a member of the C/D class of snoRNAs, which contain the C (UGAUGA) and D (CUGA) box motifs. HBII-85 is encoded in a tandemly repeated array with another C/D snoRNA, HBII-52, in the Prader-Willi syndrome (PWS) region of chromosome 15. Lineage: Eukaryota; Metazoa; Chordata; Mammalia; Rodentia; Chinchillidae. The record is from RNAcentral.
GUGAUGUCACCCCAAUUACAUUCCUUGGAGCCGAACAAAAUGAGUGAAAACUUAAACCGUCAUUCUUAUCAUGACAGAUC